GGAGGUAUAGCUCAGUAGUAGAGUAUUCGACUGCAUAUCGGGAGGUUCCCGAUUCGAACCCGGGUGUCUCCU
RNAcentral lists this transfer RNA (72 nucleotides) under Paragonimus heterotremus. It matches the Rfam family "tRNA". From Rfam's summary of the family: Transfer RNA (tRNA) molecules are approximately 80 nucleotides in length. The record is from Rfam by way of RNAcentral. Lineage: Eukaryota; Metazoa; Platyhelminthes; Trematoda; Plagiorchiida; Troglotrematidae.